GGCUCAGAUUGAACGCUGGCGGCAUGCCUUACACAUGCAAGUCGAACGGCAGCACGGACUUCGGUCUGGUGGCGAGUGGCGAACGGGUGAGUAAUGUAUCGGAACGUACCUUCAGUGGGGAUAACGUAGCGAAAGUUACGCUAAUACCGCAUAUUCUGUGAGCAGGAAAGCAGGGGAUCGCAAGACCUUGCGCUGAUUGAGCGGCCGAUAUCAGAUUAGCUAGUUGGUGAGGUAAAGGCUCACCAAGGCGACGAUCUGUAGCGGGUCUGAGAGGAUGAUCCGCCACACUGGAACUGAGACACGGUCCAGACUCCUACGGGAGGCAGCAGUGGGGAAUUUUGGACAAUGGGGGCAACCCUGAUCCAGCCAUGCCGCGUGAGUGAAGAAGGCCUUCGGGUUGUAAAGCUCUUUCGGCCGGGAAGAAAUCGCAUGGGCUAAUACCCUGUGCGGAUGACGGUACCGGCAUAAGAAGCACCGGCUAACUACGUG
RNAcentral lists this ribosomal RNA (489 nucleotides) under uncultured bacterium. Its description in RNAcentral is "bacterial SSU rRNA". It matches the Rfam family "Bacterial small subunit ribosomal RNA", at positions 21 to 507 of the family's 1533-position model. The record is from RNAcentral.